This 2896-nucleotide ribosomal RNA is filed under the name Clostridioides difficile. RNAcentral's name for it is "bacterial LSU rRNA". It matches the Rfam family "Bacterial large subunit ribosomal RNA". The record is from RNAcentral. Lineage: Bacteria; Bacillati; Bacillota; Clostridia; Peptostreptococcales; Peptostreptococcaceae.
UCAAGUUAUUAAGGGUGCAGGGCGGAUGCCUUGGCACUAGGAGCCGAUGAAGGACGUGAUAAGCUGCGAUAAGCUUCGGGGAGUUGCACGUAAACUUUGAUCCGAAGAUUUCCGAAUGAGGAAACUCACUUAGAGUAAUGUCUAAGUAUCAUUAAGUGAAUACAUAGCUUAAUGAGGGGAACUCAGGGAACUGAAACAUCUAAGUACCUGAAGGAAGAGAAAGAAAUUCGAUUCCGUAAGUAGCGGCGAGCGAACGCGGAUUAGCCCAAACCAAUAAAGUUUUCUUUAUUGGGGUUGCGGACAUAUCAUAACGAAGAGGUAUCGUAAUUGAAGAGGUUUGGAAAGACCCACCACAGAAGGUAAUAGUCCUGUAUGUUAAACGAGAAGACUUUAGAUAUGAUCCAGAGUACCACGGGACACGUGAAACCCUGUGGGAAGCAGGAGGGACCACCCUCCAAGGCUAAAUACUACCUAGUGACCGAUAGCGUAUAGUACCGUGAGGGAAAGGUGAAAAGAACCCCGGGAGGGGAGUGAAAUAGAACCUGAAACCCUGCACUUACAAGCUGUGGAAGCACAUUUCUUGUGUGACCGCGUACUUUUUGUAGAACGGGCCAACGAGUUACGUUAAGUAGCAAGGUUAAGCACUUAAGGUGCGGAGCCGUAGCGAAAGCGAGUUUUAACUGAGCGUUCAGUUACUUGACGUAGACCCGAAACCGGGCGACCUACCCAUGAGCAGGAUGAAGCGAAAGUAAAAUUUCGUGGAGGUCCGAACCCACGAGCGUUGAAAAGCUCGGGGAUGACUUGUGGGUAGCGGUGAAAUUCCAAUCGAGCCCGGAGAUAGCUGGUUCUCCCCGAAAUAGCUUUAGGGCUAGCCUCAAGGUGAGAGAUACGGAGGUAGAGCACUGAAUGUCCUAGGGGGUAUUGCACCUACCGAAGACUAUCAAACUCCGAAUGCCGUCAUCUUAUACUUGGGAGUCAGACUGUGGGUGAUAAGAUUCAUAGUCGAAAGGGCAACAGCCCAGAUCGUCAGCUAAGGUCCCUAAAUGUAAGUUAAGUGGUAAAGGAUGUGGGAUUGCACAGACAACCAGGAUGUUGGCUUAGAAGCAGCCACUCAUUCAAAGAGUGCGUAAUAGCUCACUGGUCGAGUGAUCCUGCGCCGAAGAUUUCCGGGGCUAAAACUUACUACCGAAGCUACGGCAUCAGUAAUGAUGGGUAGGGGAGCUUCCCAUACGGGUUGAAGCAUGACCGUAAGGACAUGUGGACAGUAUGGGAGUGAGAAUGUUGGCAUGAGUAGCGAGAUGUGGGUGAGAAUCCCACAGGCCGUAAACCCAAGGUUUCCAGGGGAAGGUUCGUCCGCCCUGGGUUAGUCGGGACCUAAGCUGAGGCCGAAAGGCGUAGGUGAUGGACAACAGGUUGAUAUUCCUGUACUACCGAUAACCGUUUGAGAGAAGGGAUGACACAGUAGGAUAAGCUAAGCACACUGUUGGUUAUGUGUGCCCAAGCAUUGAGGCAGUCAAAGUAGGUAAAUCCGCUUUGAUAAUGCUGGGAUGUGAUGGGGAGCGAAAUUUAGUAGCGAAGUAGCUGAUUUCACACUGUCAAGAAAAGUCUCUAUCGAGGUUAAAGGUACCCGUACCGCAAACCGACACAGGUGGGUGAGGAGAGUAUCCUAAGGCCAGCGAGAGAACUGUUGUUAAGGAACUCGGCAAAAUGACCCCGUAACUUAGGGAUAAGGGGUGCCACCAUCAGGUGGCCGCAGAGAAUAGGCCCAAGCGACUGUUUACCAAAAACAUAGGUUUCUGCUAAGUCGCAAGACGAUGUAUAGGAGCUGACGCCUGCCCGGUGCUGGAAGGUUAAGGGGAUCUGUUAGAGCAAUCGAAGCAGUGAACUUAAGCCCCAGUAAACGGCGGCCGUAACUAUAACGGUCCUAAGGUAGCGAAAUUCCUUGUCGGGUAAGUUCCGACCCGCACGAAAGGCGUAACGAUUUGGGCACUGUCUCAACAACAGACUCGGUGAAAUUGUAAUUCCGGUGAAGAUGCCGGAUACCUGCGACAGGACGGAAAGACCCCAUGGAGCUUUACUGUAGCUUGACAUUGGGUCUUGGUACUACAUGUACAGGAUAGGUGGGAGGCUUUGAAACCAGGACGCCAGUUUUGGCGGAGCCAUCCUUGGGAUACCACCCUUGUAGUACUGGGACUCUAACCAUAGGCCAUGAAUCUGGUCUUGGGACACUGUCAGGUGGGCAGUUUGACUGGGGCGGUCGCCUCCCAAAAGGUAACGGAGGCGCUCAAAGGUUCUCUCAGUACGGUCGGAAAUCGUACGUAGAGUGUAAAGGCAAAAGAGAGCUUGAUUGCAAGACAUACAGGUCGAGCAAGGAUGAAAAUCGGACUUAGUGAUCCGGUGGUUCUGCGUGGAAGGGCCAUCGCUCAACGGAUAAAAGCUACCCUGGGGAUAACAGGCUUAUCUCCCCCAAGAGUCCACAUCGACGGGGAGGUUUGGCACCUCGAUGUCGGCUCAUCACAUCCUGGGGCUGUAGUAGGUCCCAAGGGUUGGGCUGUUCGCCCAUUAAAGUGGUACGCGAGCUGGGUUCAGAACGUCGUGAGACAGUUCGGUCCCUAUCCGUCGCAGGCGUAGGAAAUUUGAGAAGACCUGUCCUUAGUACGAGAGGACCGGGAUGGACGUACCUCUGGUGUACCAGUUGUUCUGCCAAGGGCAUGGCUGGGUAGCUAUGUACGGAAUGGAUAAGCGCUGAAAGCAUCUAAGCGCGAAGCCAACUUCAAGAUAAGAUUUCCCACCGCAAGGGUAAGACCCCAGAAAGACUAUCUGGUUGAUAGGUCGAAGGUGUAAGUGCAGCAAUGUAUUUAGCUUAUCGAUACUAAUAGGUCGAGGACUUGACCAA